AGUCGAGCGGACAGAAGGGAGCUUGCUCCCGGAUGUUAGCGGCGGACGGGUGAGUAACACGUGGGUAACCUGCCUGUAAGACUGGGAUAACUCCGGGAAACCGGAGCUAAUACCGGAUAGUUCCUUGAACCGCAUGGUUCAAGGAUGAAAGACGGUUUCGGCUGUCACUUACAGAUGGACCCGCGGCGCAUUAGCUAGUUGGUGAGGUAACGGCUCACCAAGGCGACGAUGCGUAGCCGACCUGAGAGGGUGAUCGGCCACACUGGGACUGAGACACGGCCCAGACUCCUACGGGAGGCAGCAGUAGGGAAUCUUCCGCAAUGGACGAAAGUCUGACGGAGCAACGCCGCGUGAGUGAUGAAGGUUUUCGGAUCGUAAAGCUCUGUUGUUAGGGAAGAACAAGUGCAAGAGUAACUGCUUGCACCUUGACGGUACCUAACCAGAAAGCCACGGCUAACUACGUGCCAGCAGCCGCGGUAAUACGUAGGUGGCAAGCGUUGUCCGGAAUUAUUGGGCGUAAAGGGCUCGCAGGCGGUUUCUUAAGUCUGAUGUGAAAGCCCCCGGCUCAACCGGGGAGGGUCAUUGGAAACUGGGAAACUUGAGUGCAGAAGAGGAGAGUGGAAUUCCACGUGUAGCGGUGAAAUGCGUAGAGAUGUGGAGGAACACCAGUGGCGAAGGCGACUCUCUGGUCUGUAACUGACGCUGAGGAGCGAAAGCGUGGGGAGCGAACAGGAUUAGAUACCCUGGUAGUCCACGCCGUAAACGAUGAGUGCUAAGUGUUAGGGGGUUUCCGCCCCUUAGUGCUGCAGCUAACGCAUUAAGCACUCCGCCUGGGGAGUACGGUCGCAAGACUGAAACUCAAAGGAAUUGACGGGGGCCCGCACAAGCGGUGGAGCAUGUGGUUUAAUUCGAAGCAACGCGAAGAACCUUACCAGGUCUUGACAUCCUCUGACAACCCUAGAGAUAGGGCUUUCCCUUCGGGGACAGAGUGACAGGUGGUGCAUGGUUGUCGUCAGCUCGUGUCGUGAGAUGUUGGGUUAAGUCCCGCAACGAGCGCAACCCUUGAUCUUAGUUGCCAGCAUUCAGUUGGGCACUCUAAGGUGACUGCCGGUGACAAACCGGAGGAAGGUGGGGAUGACGUCAAAUCAUCAUGCCCCUUAUGACCUGGGCUACACACGUGCUACAAUGGACAGAACAAAGGGCUGCGAGACCGCAAGGUUUAGCCAAUCCCACAAAUCUGUUCUCAGUUCGGAUCGCAGUCUGCAACUCGACUGCGUG
This 1278-nucleotide ribosomal RNA is filed under the name Bacillus aerius. RNAcentral's name for it is "bacterial SSU rRNA". It matches the Rfam family "Bacterial small subunit ribosomal RNA", at positions 60 to 1322 of the family's 1533-position model. Lineage: Bacteria; Bacillati; Bacillota; Bacilli; Caryophanales; Bacillaceae. The record is from RNAcentral.